RNAcentral lists this long non-coding RNA (265 nucleotides) under Equus caballus (horse). RNAcentral's name for it is "lncRNA (ENSECAG00000031075.3)". Lineage: Eukaryota; Metazoa; Chordata; Mammalia; Perissodactyla; Equidae. The record is from RNAcentral.
CUGGUCAGCCUUGCUGGGCCCAUUUCCUGGAUACAGUAUUAAAAAACAGGCAAAAGUCAAAGGAAGUUCUGAACCUAAUUCAGAUGGGAUAAUGGAAUCAUAGCUGCUGGAGGCUCUCCCUCCCGAUUCCCUGCCCUGCACUGGCUGAAUUUGGACCCCAGAGCUGCCUUUCGAAGUCUUCAUUCCCAACAAGCGUUCACGAAUUUCGUUGUCCUACCUGAAGGUUCAGGGAUCAUUGGCAGAAGACUGGGGGAUCAUGGAGAGG